GGAGAGGUGGCUGAGUGGUCGAAAGCGGCGGUCUUGAAAACCGGUGAGGGCAACCCCCCCCCCAGGGUUCGAAUCCCUGUCUCUCCG
This 87-nucleotide transfer RNA is filed under the name Legionellales bacterium. Its description in RNAcentral is "tRNA-Ser". It matches the Rfam family "tRNA". Rfam says of the family: Transfer RNA (tRNA) molecules are approximately 80 nucleotides in length. The record is from RNAcentral. Lineage: Bacteria; Pseudomonadati; Pseudomonadota; Gammaproteobacteria; Legionellales.